RNAcentral lists this ribosomal RNA (500 nucleotides) under uncultured bacterium. RNAcentral describes it as "partial 16S ribosomal RNA". It matches the Rfam family "Bacterial small subunit ribosomal RNA", at positions 30 to 523 of the family's 1533-position model. The record is from RNAcentral.
AUUGAACGCUGGCGGCAGGCCUAACACAUGCAAGUCGAGCGGAUGACGGGAGCUUGCUCCUUGAUUCAGCGGCGGACGGGUGCGUAAUGCCCAGGAAUCUGCCUGGUAGUGGGGGACAACGUUUCGAAAGGAACGCUAAUACCGCCUACGUCCUACGGGAGAAGGCAGGGGACCUUCCGGCCUUGCGCUAUCAGAUGAGCCUAGGUCGGAUUAGCUAGUUGGUGGGGUAAUGGCUCACCAAGGCGACGAUCCGUAACUGGUCUGAGAGGAUGAUCAGUCACACUGGAACUGAGACACGGUCCAGACUCCUACGGGAGGCAGCAGUGGGGAAUAUUGGACAAUGGGCGAAAGCCUGAUCCAGCCAUGCCGCGUGUGUGAAGAAGGUCUUCGGAUUGUAAAGCACUUUAAGUUGGGAGGAAGGGCAGUAAGUUAAUACCUUGCUGUUUUGACGUUACCGACAGAAUAAGCACCGGCUAACUCUGUGCCAGCCGCCGCAGUAA